GGGGAUGUUCCGGUUUCGACAGGCAGGAACGACUUCCGAGGGCAGUGGAGUGGCUUCCUUAAAAGCCGACACAAUUACAAGUGCCAAUAAACCUGUUAUGUUCCGUGCUCCGGCCAUGAUGGCCUGCGCUGCCUAGUUUAACUAGACUUUUGCGCCUUUUUGGGACAUAGUCCCUUUGCACGAAUCAGAUUGGAUCUAGUAAGCUCAUCCGUCUGAUACUUUAGAACUUACUUCAUGGUCGGGCUUCCUUUCCCUGAUCAUGUGACACAAGGAAGGAUCGAAAGAUGCAAUCUUCGUCCAUGUCUUGCUUCUUUCUAAUAUUAGACGUGGAAGAAACUGUGGUUCCUCGUUAGAGAUUCUUGUUUGGACGUGGGUUCGACUCCCAUCAUCUCCACCA
Molecule: transfer-messenger RNA, 397 nt
Filed under: human gut metagenome
Rfam family: transfer-messenger RNA
About the family: Bacterial tmRNA, also known as 10Sa RNA or SsrA, is named for its dual tRNA and mRNA-like properties. Its role is to liberate the mRNA from a stalled ribosome.
Source: RNAcentral